GUCUACAGCCAUGCCACUCUGAACACACUCGAUUCCAUCUGAUCUCAGAAGCUCAGCAGGGUCGAGCCUGAUUAGUAUUUGCAUGGGAGACCACCUAGGAAGACCAGGUGCUGUAGGCA
RNAcentral lists this ribosomal RNA (119 nucleotides) under Pteropus alecto (black flying fox). The record is from RNAcentral. Lineage: Eukaryota; Metazoa; Chordata; Mammalia; Chiroptera; Pteropodidae.